GCAGUAGAACGCUGAAGUCUGGUGCUUGCACUAGACGGAUGAGUUGCGAACGGGUGAGUAACGCGUAGGUAACCUGCCUCAUAGCGGGGGAUGACUAUUGGAAACGAUAGCUAAUACCGCAUAACAGUAUUUACCGCAUGGUAGAUGCUUGAAAGGAGCAACUGCUUCACUAUGAGAUGGACCUGCGUUGUAUUAGCUAGUUGGUGAGGUAACGGCUCACCAAGGCUUCGAUACAUAGCCGACCUGAGAAGGUGAUCGGCCACACUGGGACUGAGACACGGCCCAGACUCCUACGGGAGGCAGCAGUAGGGAAUCUUCGGCAAUGGGGGCAACCCUGACCGAGCAACGCCGCGUGAGUGAAGAAGGUUUUCGGAUCGUAAAGCUCUGUUGUAAGAGAAGAACUGUGAGAAGAGUGGAAAGUUUCUCACUUGACGGUAUCUUACCAGAAAGGGACGGCUAACUACGUGCCAGCAGCCGCGGUAAUACGUAGGUCCCGAGCGUUGUCCGGAUUUAUUGGGCGUAAAGCGAGCGCAGGCGGUUUGAUAAGUCUGAAGUAAAAGGCUGUGGCUUAACCAUAGUACGCUUUGGAAACUGUCAAACUUGAGUGCAAAAGGGGAGAGUGGAAUUCCAUGUGUAGCGGUGAAAUGCGUAGAUAUAUGGAGGAACACCGGUGGCGAAAGCGGCUCUCUGGUCUGUAACUGACGC
RNAcentral lists this ribosomal RNA (705 nucleotides) under uncultured bacterium. RNAcentral describes it as "bacterial SSU rRNA". It matches the Rfam family "Bacterial small subunit ribosomal RNA", at positions 57 to 746 of the family's 1533-position model. The record is from RNAcentral.